AUGUCCUCAGUACAUUCGUACCUUGGAUCUCAAACGCCUUGGCUCCCGAACAAAUUGGCUCCUGAACGCUGCAAACCUGGAAAUGAGUGUUCCGGAUUUCAAACGGUUUUUGGAAGCCAAACGUCCAGCCAAUCGGAAGCCGCGCCUUGGUUUCAUAAUGUUUUGGAAGUCAAACGGGACUGUACAUCCAAAAUGCAAUGGAUUCAAAAUGUUACCCACUCUUACUGUCUCCCCUGCUUUUUCUUUAUUACUUUUUACUGUUGCAUAGGCGCUGUCCGGCCCACAAAGAAACCAAGUCUAGAUGCCUUUAAUAAUAAUAAUAAUAAUAAUAAUAAUAAUAAUAAUAAUAAUAAUAAUGAUGAUGAUGAUGAUGAUGCUUUGGUUCUUCAAGUUUUAGGGUUUCACAGAUUUCUGCAUUGUGGAAAUAUGCACGUGCGACCACCUUCGCCCUGGGUCAGUGGUGCAAGUUUUUCCUUCUGCAUUCAGAUGAACAUAGAAAGUCCAAGGCUGGUUAGAUACAAGUCUUUUGGCCCUGUGUGUUUGGAUAGAAGUGCAUUUUGUUGUGUUCCUCCUACGACCUGGGUUUCAAAACACUAUUCAUAGGCCAGCUGUCAAUAGGCCAGGGUUGAGCUUUUUUUUUUUUUUUUUGAAGACUCCAAAACUGUUGAACUUUUAUUAUUAUUAUUAUUAUUAUUAUUAUUAUUAUUAUUAUUAUUACAAAAACGCCCCCCUCCAAAAAAGUUGUGUGUCAGCUGCCAUCAACUACUUGGCCAUAGUGGAGAUUUUCCCUCUUGCAAAUAUGGCUUUAGUUUUGACCUUGAUGAUGUGACAAAAGCUGUGGAUUCCUGCCCCCUCUAAACUUUGAAGUCCUAGCUGCUUCACCUGGUUCCAGCCCAUGCAACUUCUAAGCUGCACUUCCUAGCGCCUACAAGUUGUGUGUAUAGGGGUUGGCCUUCUGGACCUUGGGCAGUCCUCAUAUUCUUUUGCGAGCCCAGGAAGAGCCAGCAUAACUCAAAUCAGUUCUCUUGGCUGGCUGUAAUUCUGAAUCGAUUGCUCAAUCAGCUCGCGGCAUUGGAAGCUGUACAAAACUGGAAGCUCUUCACAAGUCUUACGGAGGGGUGAAAUGGAUUAGCCCAGAAAUUGGCCUUGUCAAUUUCCCUUCUUGGCAACUGCCCCAUGAGCUCGUUUGGAGAGCCACCUAUCCUUUCAUGAACGAACGCUUUUGAAGGGACCGCAAAAUUACUCUAUGCUCGUAAAUAGACUAGUGUUAUGAGCUGCUGGGACAGUUCAAAAGGGCUGGGCGGAACAGGGGAUGCCUCUGGUAGUUUUUCCAUUGCACAAGGUAAAAUGGCACUAAAAAGCCCUGCUAAACCCCCCGCUUGAUCAGAGAAGGUUCGUGGGAAACGCAAAAGUGAAUGUGUAUGCUUCGGUAAUAACACUGGAAAGCCAGCAUUUGUGUACGACUUGAAACCUUGCGUAUUCCUCCAGCAACGUUGAUUCAGUAAGAUCCCACCUGACUGCACUGAAAAGGGGUUGUUGUUUUUUUGUUAGCUAUUUUGCUGAACUCCCAAGUUUGCGCUGUGUGUGAGAGUGUGUGUGUGUGUUUAAUUUAUUGAAAUAGCUGCUGUAAUUUAUUUUCGAAACUAUACAAAAUGUUUUAAAAGAAACAAAAACCAACCAGACUUGCGGGCCAAUCUUAAACGUGUGGGACGGGGAGGGGGAGAUGCUUUUAUAUGAAGAUAAAUGCACUUUGGGUGUGUUUAAGACAUCUUUUGGGAGGGGUUAGACUGUUCUGAGGACUGGGAUUUGAAUGGCCUUGUCUGUAUAUAUUGUAUCAAUAGGCACGUUUUUGGUUUUUCAUGUGGAUACAUUUGUAACUGCUGCAGGUGCUGUCUGGAAAACAGAUGUACUGAAUAAUUUUGCCCCAAAGUUGGGGUGGGGGAAUCCCCCCCUUCCUUUAUUGGGUAAAUUUUGUCAACCAUGGGAGAGAACUUUGCCUCUCCUGUUUGUAUCUCAUUUCUAUUGUGGGGUUGGUUUGGUUGUUUUUUUUUGUUUUGGUUUUUUUGGGGGGGUCCCCCCUUCUGCCUAUGGGUGGUUGUUUGACAGGGGGUGGGGAGCAGGGUUUGAAAUAAAAUACUUAAAUGGUCCCUUAUGUGCUCUUGUCUUAUUUUGCAGGGGUUGGAAAAUUCAUUUGGAAUGUUCAAACUUGCCCUCUUAAUUUUUCAAGUAUUUGGAAGUUCUUCACUUUCGUCCAUAAUGCUUACAACAGUCUAGUAAGGUAGGCCACUAGAAAUGGGAGCAUUUUCAGUUCAGGGGCCACAUUCCUUCAUGAAGAAACUUCUGGGGGCCACAGAACCAGGGGGGGCAGAACCGGAAAGAAGCAAAAAUGGGUGCAGAGCAAGUAAAGUGAUAGUCGCCCUUUUGGACAAUAUCCCCCCCCCCAAUUUAUUUAAAAAACAUUUUUAAGGCACUUAUCAAAAUAUUCUCUUAAGCCGUGUGCAACAUAGAAACAUUUAAAAAAAAAUCAAUACUAAAAAUCAGCACCAUAAAAAACAACAUAAAAUCACAGGGCGCAGAGUCCAGCAUUAAUAUUAAUUUUUAUUUAAACCAUUUCUAAGCUAUUUUCUAGCCAUGCAAAGGGCAGAAAUUUCUCUUAACAGUGGUGAUCUGUUUUGGAAGCUGUCCAAGCUUGUUUUACGCAUAAUCUUGUGUUAAUCUUGUUGGGAUUUUCUUGAAUUAUGACUAGCAUAGGAAAAAGGGGAACGGAAACAUGAGGGGCUCGGUGACGUUAGCUGAGGCUUGGCCAUCCCUGAACAUUUUGCUACCUUGUUUGUUGAAAAUGUGUUACUUUUAGAUUUUUAGAAAAUGUGUUAUUUUUAGAACCCACCAUGUUUUUGUGAUUUCAAGUUGUUUAAAACAGUUUUUAAUAUAAUAAUAAUUUAUUAUUUGCAGCCCGCUCAUCUGACUGGGUUGACUGGGCAGCUUCCAGCAUAUAUAAAAACAUAGUAAAACAUUAAACCUUAAAAAGCUUCCCUAUACAGGGCUGCCUUCAGAUGUUUCCUAAAUGUUAGAUAAUUAACUCAUCUCCUUAACAUCUGAUGGGAGGGCGUUCCAUAGGGUGGGUGCCCCUACCGAGAAGGCCCUCUGCCUGGUAUUGGGUUUUUGUGGUGUAACCCACCCUGGGACCUUAAGUUGUAGGGCAGGUAAUUAUUAUUGUUAUUAUUAUUAAUAUUUAUUAAAGAUGAAUGAAUUAUAAGGCAAAAGAAGAAAAGAGGGGAGAAAACUUGUUGAAUUAUUGUUAUUAAUAUUAAUUAUUAUUAAUAAUAAUAAUUAUUCAACAACUAUAGUCUAUAAUGAGAUGAUAAUAUAAAGAAAUAAAAAUAAUUUAAAUAGAAAGUAAUAAAGUGAAAAUGAAUGAAUGAAAUAUGCCCUUAGCCCAGGUCCUGUCCUCUUCUGGCAGAAACUCAGGCCACUUCUGGUUUGGCUCUGCCCUUUGCUGGAAUCAUAUUCCCUACCUCUGCUCCAAAAUUCCUGAUAUAAAUAAGGGAUGUAUUCAAGCUAAUGCAACUUGGGGGCAAGCCUAGAUUUGAAAUGUAUUAGCGGCAGAAGGCUCUACCCUUCUAGGCAAAGCAAUGUAUGAAAUACUUGGAGCUAGACUGCUUCUAGGCAUAUUCAGAGUACGUUUCCAGUGUAGUAACUGCAACAGCCCUCACCUAGCUCAAAGCAAACACUGGGAGUCUGGUCUCGCAGGCCCAAGCAGCUGCAGUUUCUCCCCAAGGAAACCCUAAAAAUAAAAAUACUGGAACCUGGUGACUAUUUUUAGAAAGUCCAGAUCAGUGGGUAGGAGUCAUUUUCAAGAAACGUUUGUGUGUCAAAGCUCUGGGUCGGCUGCAUGGACUGGGGAUCAGAUAGGACAUUUCCAGCCCUACCUGGUGAAUGAACCUGGAAAAAUAAAAUAAAAAGGUAUUUUGAACUGCUGUUUCCACAAUGCUGAUUGCCCAACACUUCAGGCAGUAAGACAAAUCAGAGUUAAAAAUCUGAAAAUUCCAAUACAGAUGUAGACAGGGUGGAAUCUACACAUAUAAAAUGUGAAAAUGCCUUUUUUAACAAAAAAAGGUUUGAAAAAAAUACAUUGAAUUUGGCAUAGCUCACUCUCGCCAUCUAGUGUCAAAUUAGUAUAUUGCACUUUACAACACACUUGAAACCUUUUAUUUACAGCUGUAUAGCUGAGUCCAAGGUAAGUUCUCUACUUAAAAGGCCUGUUGGAAGACAGACACCAAAAGGGUGAGUGCCGCAACACAAAAAGCCUGAUUCCUAUAUCCUAAUGAAUUGACCUCCUGAUAAGUUGGUACCUGCAGGAGGCCAUCUCUUGCAAGAGCACUGUGUGGCUGAUUGGCUCUAUAACAGAUGAGGCAAUCUUUCAAGUAUCCUGCAUCGUGCUUUAUACAUGGGUCAUUCCAUAUCAAGGGUGACUCUGGGCUAAACCACUGAGCCCCUUGGGCUUGACGAUCAGAAAGUUGGCAGUUCGAAUCUGCACAAUGGGGUGAGCUCCCCUUGCUCUGUCCCAGCUACUGCCAACCUAGCAGUUCACAAGCACGCCAGUGCAAGUAGAUAAAUAGGUACCACUGUGGCGGGAAGGUAAACUACUUUUCCAUGACUCUGGUUUCCAUCACGGUGUUCCAUUGCGCCAGAAGCAGCUUAGUCAUGCUGACCAUAUGACCCGGAAAGCUCCCCAUAGUUGCCUUUGACUGGACUUAACCGUCCAGGGGUCCUCUACCUUUACCUUUUUACCAUUCCAUAUCAAAGUGAUCCAACUUUUUUACCUCAUGGCAUCCGAUUUUCUUAAUAUUUUGUACACUUGUUGAAUGAACUAAACCAAGUUGAAAUCUGAAAUCUUAUUUUUUUAUCUCAUCCUGUUUUUGAGUUAUGAGGGUUUGAAAUUUCAAAAAA
Molecule: long non-coding RNA, 4950 nt
Organism: Podarcis muralis (Common wall lizard)
Lineage: Eukaryota; Metazoa; Chordata; Lepidosauria; Squamata; Lacertidae
Source: Ensembl